CCUGUUUAGCAAAAACAUGUUUGUUUGGAGUUAUAAAGAAUUUAACCUGCCCCCUGAUUAACUACUAAUUAAAGGGCCGCAGUAUUAUAACUGUGCAAAGGUAGCAUAAUCAUUAGGUUUUUAAUUGAAAUCUCGUAUGAAUGGUUGGACAAAAGAAAGACUCUCUUUAUAUUAAGUUUUGAAUUUAACUUUUAAGUGAAAAGGCUUAAAUAUUCUAAAGGGACGAUAAGACCCUAUAAAACUUUACAUUGUCAUUAAUUUUGAUUGAAUUUAUGAAAUAAAAAUUUUAUUUGAUUAUUUGUUAUGUUGGGGAGACAUAAGUAAAAUAUUUUUUUAACUGCUUGAUAGUUAUACAAUUAUUAGUGAAUAAGUAGAAGAUCCUUUUUAAGAUUAGUAGAUUAAGUUACUUUAGGGAUAACAGUGUAAUUUCUUUUGAGAGUUCUUAUCGAAAAAGAAGGUUGCAACCUCGAUGUUGAAUUAAAAUAUCUAUAUAAUGGAGAGGUUAUAUAAGAAGGUCUGUUCGACCUUGAAAAUUUUACAUGAUUUGAGUUCAAACCGGUGUAAGCCAGGUU
This 572-nucleotide ribosomal RNA is filed under the name Longpotamon kenliense. RNAcentral's name for it is "partial large subunit ribosomal RNA". It matches the Rfam family "Bacterial large subunit ribosomal RNA", at positions 1799 to 2632 of the family's 2925-position model. Lineage: Eukaryota; Metazoa; Arthropoda; Malacostraca; Decapoda; Potamidae. The record is from RNAcentral.